This 444-nucleotide ribosomal RNA is filed under the name uncultured Eubacteriaceae bacterium. RNAcentral describes it as "bacterial SSU rRNA". It matches the Rfam family "Bacterial small subunit ribosomal RNA", at positions 337 to 797 of the family's 1533-position model. The record is from RNAcentral. Lineage: Bacteria; Bacillati; Bacillota; Clostridia; Eubacteriales; Eubacteriaceae.
GCCUACGGGAGGCAGCAGUGGGGAAUAUUGCGCAAUGGGGGAAACCCUGACGCAGCAACGCCGCGUGAGUGAUGAAGGCUUUCGAGUCGUAAAACUCUGUCUUCGGGGACGAAUAAUGACGGUACCCGAGGAGGAAGCCCCGGCUAACUACGUGCCAGCAGCCGCGGUAAUACGUAGGGGGCAAGCGUUGUCCGGAAUCACUGGGCGUAAAGGGCGCGUAGGCGGUUUGUUAAGUCAGGUGUGAAAGUUUUCAGCUUAACUGGAAAAGUGCACUUGAAACUAACUUACUUGAGUACUGGAGAGGUAAGCGGAAUUCCUAGUGUAGCGGUGAAAUGCGUAGAUAUUAGGAAGAACACCGGUGGCGAAGGCGGCUUACUGGACAGAGACUGACGCUGAGGCGCGAAAGCGUGGGGAGCGAACAGGAUUAGAUACCCUAGUAGUCCC